CUACGGGUUGCUCCAGUCGAGAAUCAUUCGCAAUGGGCGAAAGCCUGACGAUGCGACGCCGUGUGAACGAAGAAGGCCCUCGGGUUGUAAAGUUCUUUCGCUAGGGAGCAAGAGAUGGUGGCUAAUAUCCAUCAAAUUUGAGAGUACCUGGUAAAGAAGCACCGGCUAACUCCGUGCCAGCAGCUGCGGUAAUACGGAGGGUGCAAGCAUUAAUCGGAUUUAUUGGGCGUAAAGGGCGUGUAGGCGGGAAUGUAAGUCAGGUGUGAAAUCCCGGGGCUCAACCCCGGAACUGCACUUGAAACUGCAUAUCGAGAGGGUAGGGGGAGAAAACGGAAUUCCACGUGUAGCGGUGAAAUGCGUAGAUAUGUGGAAGAACACCAGUGGCGAAGGCGGUUUUCUAGCUUAAUCCUGACGCUGAGGCGCGAAAGCAAGGGGAGCGAACAGGAUUAGAUACCCCGGUAGUC
RNAcentral lists this ribosomal RNA (464 nucleotides) under uncultured bacterium. Its description in RNAcentral is "partial 16S ribosomal RNA". It matches the Rfam family "Bacterial small subunit ribosomal RNA", at positions 339 to 795 of the family's 1533-position model. The record is from RNAcentral.